UGGGGAAUUUUGCACAAUGGGGGAAACCCUGAUGCAGCGACGCCGCGUGAUUUAGAAGGCCUUCGGGUUGUAAAAAUCUUUUCUAUGGGAAGAAAAUGACAGUACCAUAGGAAUAAGGACCGGCUAAUUACGUGCCAGCAGCCGAGGUAAUACGUAAGGUCCGAGCGUUGUCCGGAAUCAUUGGGCGUAAAGGGUACGUAGGCGGGUAAGCAAGUUAGAAGUGAAAUCCUAUAGCUCAACUAUAGUAAGCUUUUAAAACUGCUCAUCUUGAGGUAUGGAAGGGAAAGUGGAAUUCCUAGUGUAGCGGUGAAAUGCGCAGAUAUUAGGCGGAAUACCGGUGGCGAAGGCGACUUUCUGGCCAUAACCUGACGCUGCGGUACGAAAGCGUGGGUAGCAAACAGG
RNAcentral lists this ribosomal RNA (402 nucleotides) under bacterium. RNAcentral describes it as "partial 16S ribosomal RNA". It matches the Rfam family "Bacterial small subunit ribosomal RNA", at positions 355 to 776 of the family's 1533-position model. The record is from RNAcentral.